AGUGAACGCUGGCGGUAGGCCUAACACAUGCAAGUCGAACGGCAGCACAGUAAGAGCUUGCUCUUACGGGUGGCGAGUGGCGGACGGGUGAGGAAUACAUCGGAAUCUACUUUUUCGUGGGGGAUAACGUAGGGAAACUUACGCUAAUACCGCAUACGACCUACGGGUGAAAGCAGGGGAUCUUCAGACCUUGCGCGAUUGAAUGAGCCGAUGUCGGAUUAGCUAGUUGGCGGGGUAAAGGCCCACCAAGGCGACGAUCCGUAGCUGGUCUGAGAGGAUGAUCAGCCACACUGGAACUGAGACACGGUCCAGACUCCUACGGGAGGCAGCAGUGGGGAAUAUUGGACAAUGGGCGCAAGCCUGAUCCAGCCAUACCGCGUGGGUGAAGAAGGCCUUCGGGUUGUAAAGCCCUUUUGUUGGGAAAGAAAAGCAGCAGGUUAAUACCCCGCUGUUCUGACGGUACCCAAAGAAUAAGCACCGGCUAACCUCGUG
This 492-nucleotide ribosomal RNA is filed under the name uncultured bacterium. RNAcentral's name for it is "partial 16S ribosomal RNA". It matches the Rfam family "Bacterial small subunit ribosomal RNA", at positions 29 to 507 of the family's 1533-position model. The record is from RNAcentral.